UGGGCACAGUUGAGUGAAGACGCAACAUCAUGUGUGGUGAAUCCACAAGUUUAUGCUUUUGUAAGACGUAGAAGGAAGUAAUAUGAUUACACUUGAGCAAUCCAUUUAUGCUUAAAGAUUGACAUGCUGUUAAAAUCUUUUUGUAAGAAGCCCACGGAGAAACUGUGCAAUAUGGGCCUGCAAGCAACAAGGUCAAUUUCAUGUAUCUCUUAUAUCAAAUCCGAAUAAAUAUUGUUAUAAUUC
Molecule: long non-coding RNA, 243 nt
Organism: Lingula anatina
Lineage: Eukaryota; Metazoa; Brachiopoda; Lingulata; Lingulida; Lingulidae
Source: RefSeq, a predicted model, not a curated record